This 536-nucleotide long non-coding RNA is filed under the name Sorghum bicolor (sorghum). RNAcentral's name for it is "long non-coding RNA (SBIC_LNC003440)". The record is from RNAcentral. Lineage: Eukaryota; Viridiplantae; Streptophyta; Magnoliopsida; Poales; Poaceae.
CAUAUCGGCAAGAGACAACCUGAUGCAUUGGUCCAAUUUUCGUUCACCCCACUGAACCUCAUUAGAAUGGCUGACUCUCAAGAACCAAUCCUUCCAUCCUACGGUAGGACUGGGCCAGGAAUGAAAGGUAUCCUUCCACAGAUCUAGAGAAAAAUUCUCAGCUCUAAAGGGGAUUAUGUUUGUUUCUGCGUUGAUUAGAUCGGUGGGAUCUGGAUUCCCUAGCGGACCGAGACAUUGAAGGUGUGGCUGAUCGGUAGGGAUGACAAUUUUAUUGGACAGAUCCUAAUGGUUUUGGGGUAAAAAGGAAAAAACAAAAGAAAAAGAGGGAGGUUUAGUAAAAUAAAUGGCGGAUGAACAAGGGUAUGAUAAAAUACAAAAGGUAGGGUGAUGAACUGACCUCGGGAACAGUGAAGUUGAUGGCCAUUUCCUCGCAAGGAGGAUGAUCGAGGGCUUUGAGGUUGGUGGAGAAAGGUCUUCGUCGGAGUUCUUGAAGUUCUCGAAUGGCGCCGCCGCCAGAAAAGUAGAGUUGGGGCUGU